GGUGAUUGGUUUGUUUUUUUGUCUGUGUUUGUAUAUGUAGACACUCCUUCCUCUCUUAAGCUGCAGGAGGACGUUUCUGCUCGUCCAUCUCCCUCCUUCACGCACUUUCCCUCGCAGGCUUUUUUUUCUUUCCCUUUAUCCUUCCCCUGUUUUGUCUGCUUGUUUCUUCCUCCUCCUUUCUUCUGCCUCUCUCCCCCCACUGGGGGCUGAUUGCAUUCCUGCCAGAAGGGGCAGAGGUGUCUGUGAUCCGGUUAAAGACCACACUUCUUCUCUUCCACUGUUCUCUCCCUCAUGUUGUUUACCGCACCCCCUCCCUGGGAAAAUGGAAGCACCCUCCUUCCUGUAUCCGAGUGAUUUUUGAACGCCGGCAGUCAUGCGGGGCCUACCUUUGUCAUCCAACUGACACGUGAUACCGGGAUCCUUCUCCAAGGCAGCUCCGCCGGGAUCUGGUCAGAGAGAGGCAGUGAAACAGACUUCAGAUCAGCAGAUCCAUUUUCUUUGGACUUUGAAUAUUUCAUGUGGGGAGUCAUGCAGCAGACGCACAAAUGGGCUAAAUAACAACAACAACGACGCACACACAAUCAAUGUGCUUGAUUAAAUAUGACAUGCAGUAAAA
Molecule: long non-coding RNA, 616 nt
Organism: Oryzias latipes (Japanese medaka)
Lineage: Eukaryota; Metazoa; Chordata; Actinopteri; Beloniformes; Adrianichthyidae
Source: RefSeq, a predicted model, not a curated record